AGGGCGCCAUGCUCCAGCAGGCGGCGCUCUCCUUGUGCUCUGUGUUCCAGCAUUGUGUCAAUAAGAAGUGGUGCUGUGAAGAGAACAAUAGUCAGACUGAAUGUUGAACAUCAGCUGCUUCCUCCUGCUGAUUUAAACCUUGGUGGACAGAUGGAACAUUGGCUGUGGAUUAUUCUGGCUGCUCUUUUCUCUGAGUGUAAAGGAGACUCAGUGAAGCAGACAGAAGGAGAAGUUGUUGCUGCUGCAGGAGAAUCACUGACUCUGAGAUGUACCUAUGAAACCAGUGAUCCAUAUCCAUAUCUGUUCUGGUACAGACAAGAUGAAAACGGUUAUCCAAAGUUCAUGCUGAAGCGAUUCUCAACAGGAGGAGAUAAUGCUCCAGAAUUCAAGAAAGAUAAAUUUGAUGCUCAGCACGAGAAAACCUCGUUUAAUCUGAAGAUCCAGGAUCCGCAGGUUUCAGACUCUGCUGUGUACUACUGCGCUCUGCAGCCCACAGUGACAGGAAACACCAGAACCCUGCACAAAAACCUGCAGUACUCCACAGCAGCCACUAGAGGGCCUCACUCCCUGUUAAACCUUAACAUUCAGGAUCAAGUCUGAUUUUGUAUGUGGGGA
Xiphophorus hellerii (green swordtail) is the source of this 615-nucleotide non-coding RNA. The record is from the annotation of a RefSeq genome assembly. Lineage: Eukaryota; Metazoa; Chordata; Actinopteri; Cyprinodontiformes; Poeciliidae.